GUGCUCGCUUCAGCAGCAUGUGUACUAAAAUUGGAAUGAUACAGAGAAGAUUAGCAUGGACCCUGUGCAAGGAUGACUCGAAAUUUGGAAGCAUUCCAUAUUUUU
Small nuclear RNA from Octodon degus (degu), 105 nucleotides. NCBI's taxonomy places the organism in Eukaryota, Metazoa, Chordata, Mammalia, Rodentia, Octodontidae. The record is from Ensembl.